This 494-nucleotide ribosomal RNA is filed under the name uncultured bacterium. RNAcentral describes it as "partial 16S ribosomal RNA". It matches the Rfam family "Bacterial small subunit ribosomal RNA", at positions 28 to 507 of the family's 1533-position model. The record is from RNAcentral.
GACGAACGCUGGCGGCGUGCUUAACACAUGCCAGUCGAACGGUGAAGCGCCUUCCUUUUUGGUGGGUGUGGAUGAGUGGCGAACGGGUGAGUAACACGUGAGUAACCUGCCCCCUUCUUCUGGAUAACCGCAUGAAAGUGUGGCUAAUACGGGAUAUUCUGGGUCUGUCGCAUGAUGGGUCUGGGAAAGAUAUUGUUUCGGUGGGGGAUGGGCUCGCGGCCUAUCAGCUUGUUGGUGGGGUGAUGGCCUACCAAGGCGGUGACGGGUAGCCGGCCUGAGAGGGUGGACGGUCACACUGGGACGGAGACACGGCCCAGACUCCGACGGGAGGCAGCAGGGGGGAAUAUGGAACAAUGGGCGGAAGCCUGAUGCAGCGACGCCGCGUGAGGGAUGGAGGCCUGCGGGUUGUGAACCUCUUUCGCCAGUGAAGCAGGCCUGCCUCGUUUGUGGGUGGGUUGACGGUAGCUGGAGAAGAAGCGCCGGCUAACUACGUG